Molecule: ribosomal RNA, 465 nt
Filed under: uncultured bacterium
Lineage: Bacteria
Description: partial 16S ribosomal RNA
Rfam family: Bacterial small subunit ribosomal RNA
Source: RNAcentral
GAUGAACGCUGGCGGCGUGCUUAACACAUGCAAGUCGAACGAUGAAGCCCAGCUUGCUGGGUGGAUUAGUGGCGAACGGGUGAGUACACGUGAGUAACCUGCCCUUAACUCUGGGAUAAGCCUGGGAAACUGGGUCUAAUACCGGAUAGGAGCGUCCACCGCAUGGUGGGUGUUGGAAAGAUUUAUCGGUUUUGGAUGGACUCGCGGCCUAUCAGCUUGUUGGUGAGGUAAUGGCUCACCAAGGCGACGACGGGUAGCCGGCCUGAGAGGGUGACCGGCCACACUGGGACUGAGACACGGCCCAGACUCCUACGGGAGGCAGCAGUGGGGAAUAUUGCACAAUGGGCGCAAGCCUGAUGCAGCGACGCCGCGUGAGGGAUGACGGCCUUCGGGUUGUAAACCUCUUUCAGUAGGGAAGAAGCGAAAGUGACGGUACCUGCAGAAGAAGCACCGGCUAACUACGUG